RNAcentral lists this ribosomal RNA (253 nucleotides) under uncultured bacterium. RNAcentral describes it as "partial 16S ribosomal RNA". It matches the Rfam family "Bacterial small subunit ribosomal RNA", at positions 524 to 776 of the family's 1533-position model. The record is from RNAcentral.
UACGGAGGGUUCAAGCGUUAUCCGGAUUUAUUGGGUUUAAAGGGUGCGUAGGCGGAUUGAUAAGUUAGAGGUGAAAUGUCCGAGCUCAACUCGGGAACUGCCUCUAAUACUGUUGAUCUAGAGAGUAGAUGCGGUAGGCGGAAUGUAUGGUGUAGCGGUGAAAUGCUUAGAGAUCAUACAGAACACCGAUUGCGAAGGCAGCUUACCAAUCUAUAUCUGACGUUGAGGCACGAAAGCGUGGGGAGCAAACAGG